RNAcentral lists this ribosomal RNA (252 nucleotides) under uncultured bacterium. RNAcentral's name for it is "partial 16S ribosomal RNA". It matches the Rfam family "Bacterial small subunit ribosomal RNA", at positions 524 to 776 of the family's 1533-position model. The record is from RNAcentral.
UACGAAGGGGGCUAGCGUUGCUCGGAAUCACUGGGCGUAAAGCGCACGUAGGCGGAUUGUUAAGUCAGGGGUGAAUCCUGGAGCUCAACUCCAGAACUGCCUUUGAUACUGGCGAUCUUGAGUCCGGGAGAGGUGAGUGGAACUCCGAGUGUAGAGGUGAAAUUCGUAGAUAUUCGGAAGAACACCAGCGGCGAAGGCGGCGCUCUGGGCCGGAACUGACGCUGAGGAGCGAAAGCGUGGGUAGCAAACAGG